CCUUGGGGAGGAAUCCCGGGAACUGGGGAUAAUACCCUAUAGACUAUGGAUGCUGGAAUGCUCUGUAGCCGAAAGGUCCGCCGCCAUAGGAUGGGUCUGCGGCCGAUUAGGUUGUUGUUGGGGUAACGGCCCAACAAGCCUGUAAUCGGUACGGGUUGUGGGAGCAAGAGCCCGGAGAUGGAUUCUGAGACACGAAUCCAGGCCCUACGGGGCGCAGCAGGCGCGAAAACUUUGCAAUGCGGGAAACCGUGACAAGGGAACUCUGAGUGCCCGUAAAAUCGGGCUGUCCAUCGGUUUAAAUAACCGGUGAAGAAAGGGCCGGGCAAGACCGGUGCCAGCCGCCGCGGUAAUACCGGCGGCUCGAGUGGUGGCCACUAUUACUGGGCUUAAAGCGUUCGUAGCUGGUUUGUUAAGUCUCUGGGGAAAUCUUCCGGCUUAACCGGAAGGCGUCUCAGGGAUACUGGCAGACUAGGGACCGGGAGAGGUGAGAGGUACUCCAGGGGUAGGAGUGAAAUCCUGUAAUCCUUGGGGGACCACCUGUGGCGAAGGCGUCUCACCAGAACGGCUCCGACAGUGAGGGACGAAAGCUGGGGGAGCAAACCGGAUUAGAUACCCGGGUAGUCCCAGCUGUAAACGAUGCGCGUUAGGUGUAUCGGUGACCACGAGUCACCGAGGUGCCGAAGAGAAAUCGUGAAACGUGCCGCCUGGGAAGUACGGUCGCAAGGCUGAAACUUAAAGGAAUUGGCGGGGGAGCAC
This 756-nucleotide ribosomal RNA is filed under the name uncultured archaeon. Its description in RNAcentral is "bacterial SSU rRNA". It matches the Rfam family "Archaeal small subunit ribosomal RNA", at positions 113 to 879 of the family's 1478-position model. The record is from RNAcentral.